Molecule: ribosomal RNA, 120 nt
Filed under: Clostridium botulinum
Lineage: Bacteria; Bacillati; Bacillota; Clostridia; Eubacteriales; Clostridiaceae
Description: partial 23S ribosomal RNA
Rfam family: Bacterial large subunit ribosomal RNA
Source: RNAcentral
AUGUCACAGAGAGUCAGACAGGAAGACCACUGAAAACUCAUGAGGUUGAUAGGUUGGAGGUGUAAGUACAGUAAUGUAUUCAGCUGACCAAUACUAAUAGGUCGAGGGCUUGAUCAAAUU